This 112-nucleotide transfer RNA is filed under the name Salmonella enterica subsp. enterica serovar Newport. RNAcentral describes it as "tRNA-Leu". It matches the Rfam family "tRNA". Rfam says of the family: Transfer RNA (tRNA) molecules are approximately 80 nucleotides in length. Their secondary structure includes four short double-helical elements and three loops (D, anti-codon, and T loops). Lineage: Bacteria; Pseudomonadati; Pseudomonadota; Gammaproteobacteria; Enterobacterales; Enterobacteriaceae. The record is from RNAcentral.
GCGAAGGUGGCGGAAUUGGUAGACGCGCUAGCUUCAGGUGUUAGUGUCCUUACGGACGUGGGGGUUCAAGUCCCCCACGGACGUGGGGGUUCAAGUCCCCCCCCUCGCACCA